AACGAACGCUGGCGGCAGGCCUAACACAUGCAAGUCGAACGCUCCGCAAGGGGAGUGGCGCACGGGUGAGUAACACGUGGGAACCUACCUUCUGGUACGGAACAACCAAGGGAAACUUUGGCUAAGACCGUAUACGACCUCCGGGUGGAAAGAUUGAUCGCCGGAAGAGGGGCCCGCGUCCGAUUAGGUAGUUGGUGAGGUAACGGCUCACCAAGCCUUCGAUCGGUAGCUGGUCUGAGAGGAUGACCAGCCACACUGGGACUGAGACACGGCCCA
RNAcentral lists this ribosomal RNA (276 nucleotides) under uncultured bacterium. RNAcentral's name for it is "partial 16S ribosomal RNA". It matches the Rfam family "Bacterial small subunit ribosomal RNA", at positions 29 to 333 of the family's 1533-position model. The record is from RNAcentral.